GACGAACGCUGGCGGCGUGCCUAAUACAUGCAAGUUGAGCGCUGAAGGUUGGUACUUGUACCAACUGGAUGAGCAGCGAACGGGUGAGUAACGCGUGGGGAAUCUGCCUUUGAGCGGGGGACAACAUUUGGAAACGAAUGCUAAUACCGCAUAAAAACUUUAAACACAAGUUUUAAGUUUGAAAGAUGCAAUUGCAUCACUCAAAGAUGAUCCCGCGUUGUAUUAGCUAGUUGGUGAGGUAAAGGCUCACCAAGGCGAUGAUACAUAGCCGACCUGAGAGGGGGAUCGGCCACAUUGGGACUGAAACACGGCCCAAACUCCUACGGGAGGCAGCAGUAGGGAAUCUUCGGCAAUGGACGAAAGUCUGACCGAGCAACGCCGCGUGAGUGAAGAAGGUUUUCGGAUCGUAAAACUCUGUUGGUAGAGAAGAACGUUGGUGAGAGUGGAAAGCUCAUCAAGUGACGGUAACUACCCAGAAAGGGACGGCUAACUACGUG
RNAcentral lists this ribosomal RNA (497 nucleotides) under uncultured bacterium. RNAcentral describes it as "partial 16S ribosomal RNA". It matches the Rfam family "Bacterial small subunit ribosomal RNA", at positions 28 to 507 of the family's 1533-position model. The record is from RNAcentral.